GCUGGCGGCAGGCCUAACACAUGCAAGUCGAACGGAGUUAUAUUGUAGCUUGCUAUGGUAUAACUUAGUGGCAGACGGGUGAGUAAUGUAUAGGAAUCUACCUAGUAGUACGGAAUAAUUGUUGGAAACGGCAACUAAUACCGUAUACGCCCUACGGGGGAAAAAUUUAUUGCUAUUAGAUGAGCCUAUAUUAGAUUAGCUAGUUGGUGGAGUAAUAGCCUACCAAGGCAAUGAUCUAUAGCUGAUCUGAGAGGAUGAUCAGCCACACUGGAACUGAGAUACGGUCCAGACUCCUACGGGAGGCAGCAGUGGGGAAUAUUGGACAAUGGGCGAAAGCCUGAUCCAGCCAUGCCGCAUGAGUGAAGAAGGCCUUUGGGUUGUAAAGCUCUUUUAGUGAGGAAGAUAAUGACGGUACUCACAGAAGAAGUCCUGGCUAACUCCGUGCCAGCAGCCGCGGUAAUACGGAGAGGGCUAGCGUUAUUCGGAAUUAUUGGGCGUAAAGGGCGCGUAGGCGGAUUAGUAAGUUAAAAGUGAAAUCCCAAGGCUCAACCUUGGAAUUGCUUUUAAAACUGCUAAUCUAGAGAUUGAAAGAGGAUAGAGGAAUUCCUAGUGUAGAGGUGAAAUUCGUAAAUAUUAGGAGGAACACCAGUGGCGAAGGCGUCUAUCUGGUUCAAAUCUGACGCUGAGGCGCGAAGGCGUGGGGAGCAAACAGGAUUAGAUACCCUGGUAGUCCACGCUGUAAACGAUGAAUGUUAAAUAUGGGAAGUUUUACUUUCUGUAUUACCGCUAACGCGUUAAA
This 799-nucleotide ribosomal RNA is filed under the name uncultured bacterium. RNAcentral describes it as "bacterial SSU rRNA". It matches the Rfam family "Bacterial small subunit ribosomal RNA", at positions 35 to 864 of the family's 1533-position model. The record is from RNAcentral.